This 448-nucleotide ribosomal RNA is filed under the name uncultured bacterium. Its description in RNAcentral is "partial 16S ribosomal RNA". It matches the Rfam family "Bacterial small subunit ribosomal RNA", at positions 29 to 523 of the family's 1533-position model. The record is from RNAcentral.
AGCGAACGCUGUCGGCAGGCUUAACACAUGCAAGUCGAACGCCCCGCAAGGGGAGUGGCAGACGGGUGAGUAACACGUGGGAACGUACCAUUUGGUUCGGAAUAACUUGGGGAAACUCAAGCUAAUACCGGAUAAGCCCUUAUGGGGAAAGGUUUACUGCCGAAGGAUCGGCCCGCGUCUGAUUAGCUAGUUGGUGAGGUAAUGGCGCACCAAGGCGACGAUCAGUAGCUGGUCUGAGAGGAUGAUUCAGCCACACUGGGACUGAGACACGGCCCAGACUCCUACGGGAGGCAGCAGUGGGGAAUAUUGGACAAUGGGGGCAACCCUGAUCCAGCCAUGCCGCGUGAGUGAUGAAGGCCUUAGGGUUGUAAAGCUCUUUUACCCGGGACGAUAAUGACUGUACCGGGAGAAUAAGCCCCGGCUAACUUCGUGCCAGCAGCCGCGGUAA